AGUGAACGCUGGCGGUAGGCCUAACACAUGCAAGUCGAACGGCAGCACAGGAGAGCUUGCUCUCUGGGUGGCGAGUGGCGGACGGGUGAGGAAUACAUCGGAAUCUGCCCAGUCGUGGGGGAUAACGUAGGGAAACUUACGCUAAUACCGCAUACGACCUUCGGGUGAAAGAGGGGGAUCGCAGGACCUCUCGCGAUUGGAUGAGCCGAUGUCGGAUUAGCUAGUUGGCGGGGUAAUGGCCCACCAAGGCGACGAUCCGUAGCUGGUCUGAGAGGAUGAUCAGCCACACUGGAACUGAGACACGGUCCAGACUCCUACGGGAGGCAGCAGUGGGGAAUAUUGGACAAUGGGCGCAAGCCUGAUCCAGCCAUACCGCGUGGGUGAAGAAGGCCUUCGGGUUGUAAAGCCCUUUUGUUGGGAAAGAAAUCUUUCAGGCUAAUACCCUGGGAGGAUGACGGUACCCAAAGAAUAAGCACCGGCUAACUUCGUG
Molecule: ribosomal RNA, 490 nt
Filed under: uncultured bacterium
Lineage: Bacteria
Description: partial 16S ribosomal RNA
Rfam family: Bacterial small subunit ribosomal RNA
Source: RNAcentral